This 1902-nucleotide unclassified non-coding RNA is filed under the name uncultured fungus. Its description in RNAcentral is "sequence contains 18S rRNA gene, ITS1, 5.8S rRNA gene, ITS2, 28S rRNA gene". Lineage: Eukaryota; Fungi. The record is from RNAcentral.
UGCAGAGUCGUCCGGAGAUCGGUUUCUGUUCGACGGCCGCUCGCGUUGAGGAUGCCGAUGGGAAACUGCUCAACCAGUGGCGCUGCCGCCACGGAAGCAUCGAAAUGCUGGCGACGCUCUUCGCCGAAAAUGCGGCGAUCGCCGGCGGCUGUUCGGCGGUCAUGGUGCGCAAGGAUCUUGUGGACCAGGUUGGACUGUUCGACGAGACGCUGCGCGGUUUCGAAGACCCCGACCUGUGGAUGCGCUUGCGGCCAUAUCGGGCUACCAAUGCAUCGACGAAGCGUUGGUCGUCAUUCUCCGCCGCGAGAGGAGCGUGAGUCGCAACCUGGAUUCGAUGAGAGUUUCCGCCCUGCGAUCGAUGCGAAAAAACCGGGUACUGUUGCCGGCGCAGCUGCGUGGCAGCUUCUGGCGCAACUGCCUCGCGGGCGUCUAUACCGACUAUGCGAAGCCCGCCUACCGCGCAGGGCGGAUCGGCGCGGCCUAUGCGGAUACGCUGCGGGCCCUCUUGCUGUCCCCCGUUGGCCGGGGACGACUCUGCCUCGGGCUCCUCCGGGACUUCCUGCUGGGAAGGCCCAUAUGAACACCGCCGGGCCGCCCCAAGGUGUGAAUUGCUCCCUCUCGGAGGGACGGCGCGCAGCGCCAAGGGUGCCCCAAUGACCAUGCAGCCUCUCGAUCACUUGCUCGUCGACUCGCUGGCGCAAGGCACCCAGGUGGUGCUGGUGGUGGCCGCUACUUUGAGCGCUGGGCUGUUGAUCAAAGUCCAUCCUGGAUUUCACGCGGACCGGGCCCGAACUGGCAGAAGAGGUUUGGCCCACUACCGCGUUUACCUCGCGUAUUCGCUGCGAGACUGCUGGCUUUCGCAUUCCUGAUCACCGCGUUCAUGGCGUUCGUUGGGGUCGCAGCAUAUGUGGUAGGUCUGGUGCUUCUCGGCGCAAGCUAUGAGCCUGCAGCGGCUGCCGGCGCGGCGGUUGCGAGCGUUGUUUUGCUGACCGGUCGCCGGUUCGCGAACACGUUGCUGUUCUCCCCCGGCGUCAUCGCGGCUUCGUCUCUGUAUUCCAUGACGCAUUUCUACCCACUCUGGGACAGGCUUACGCCUCGCCGCCUGCGAGGCUUCGAUAUCGCUUUGCUCGCUGCGGGAGGCACAUGGCUUGCGGCAGGUCUGACUGCGCUGGCGCGAGACGGCGCAUGGCCGGGCAUGCUGCUCCUUACCGGCAUUGCGGCGCUCUAUGUGGCGACUUGCUGGUUGGCCAUUAGGGAGCAGGAGCCCGCUGCGGUACCUCCCCGACCGCGACCGGAUGCCGCGCCGAACAUUUUGCUGAUCGGCUCCGAUACCUUACGCGCGGACCGGAUCUUUGGGACCGGCUAUCCCCGGGAGCUCACCCCCAAUCUGGCGCGCCUCGCGAAGCGGGGCACCGCAAUUCACCGAUUGCUACGUCCCGUGUGCGCGGACCGCGCCCAGCCUCGUCUCGAUGCUGAGCGGCACCUGGCCGCACACGCACGGUGUGCGCGAUACCUUCGUGACCCCCGAACAGACGCAACUUCCGUCCAGUCGUUGCCGCAGAUUCUCAAGCCACUGGGAUAUCGAUCGCUAUCGUCGGCGAUUGGGCGGCCUCGGACGCCGAGAAAUUCAAUUUCGGAUUCGAUCACCGCGACCUGCCACACGAUCAGUGGAACAUCAAAUUCCUGCUUCGGCAGGGGCCGAAGGACUUGCGGCCGUUCCUUGUCGCUGUUCACGCAAACGCAUUCGGCAAGGCGUUCCUGCCCGAGAUCUAUUACCUCGGCGGCGUUCCGCUGACCGAGGAGGUCGGCCGCGACACGCGGCGGAUGAUCGGAAAGCUUGCACAGGAUGGCACGCCGUUCUUCCUGAUGUCGUUCAUGCGACCACACACCCGCCGUUCACGU